RNAcentral lists this ribosomal RNA (1402 nucleotides) under metagenome. RNAcentral describes it as "bacterial LSU rRNA". It matches the Rfam family "Bacterial large subunit ribosomal RNA", at positions 1495 to 2925 of the family's 2925-position model. The record is from RNAcentral.
UGAAAGGAAAGACCGGUGCAAGCGGGACAGUAGCCAUGCAGGCAAAUCCGUGUGGCAAUACGAAGACGUGACGCGGACCGAAAUAAAGUAGGGAAGCAUGUGAGCCAUGUGCCAAGAAAAGCCGCUAUAGAUCAUACCGUACCCGUACCGUAAACCGACACAGGUAGAUGAGGAGAGAAUCCUAAGGCCGACGGGAGAAGCAUUGUUAAGGAACUCGGCAAAAUGACCCCGUAACUUCGGGAGAAGGGGUGCCCACGCGAGUGGGCCGCAGAGAAUAGGCUCAAGCAACUGUUUAGCAAAAACACAGGUCUAUGCGAAACCGAAAGGUGAGGUAUAUGGGCUGACGCCUGCCCGGUGCUGGAAGGUUAAGAGGAGGAGUCAGGCAACGAAGCUCCGAAUUUAAGCCCCAGUAAACGGCGGCCGUAACUAUAACGGUCCUAAGGUAGCGAAAUUCCUUGUCGGGUAAGUUCCGACCCGCACGAAAGGCGUAAUGAUUUGAGCACUGUCUCGACAAUGCACCCGGUGAAAUUGAAGUACCAGUGAAGAUGCUGGUUACCUGCGCCAGGACGGAAAGACCCCAUGGAGCUUUACUCCAGUUUGAUACUGGGAUUCGAUACUGAAUGUACAGGAUAGGUGGGAGGCUGAGAAGCGUGGACGCCAGUCUGCGGUGAGCCGCUGUUGGGAUACCACCCUUUGAGUAUUGGAUUUCUAACCUGCGCCCGUGACCCGGGCGGGGGACAAUGUCUGACGGGGAGUUUGACUGGGGCGGUCGCCUCCGAAAGGGUAUCGGAGGCGCUCAAAGGUUCCCUCAGAAUGGUUGGAAACCAUUCGCAGAGUGCAAAGGCAGAAGGGAGCUUGACUGUGACACCGACGGGUGGAGCAGGUACGAAAGUAGGACUUAGUGAUCCGGUGGUAUGAAAGUGGGAUUGCCAUCGCUCAACGGAUAAAAGCUACCCUGGGAUAACAGGCUUAUCAUUCCCAAGAGUUCACAUCGACGGAGUGGUUUGGCACCUCGAUGUCGGCUCAUCGCAUCCUGGGGCUGUAGCAGGUCCCAAGGGUUGGGCUGUUCGCCCAUUAAAGCGGUACGCGAGCUGGGUUCAGAACGUCGUGAGACAGUUCGGUCCCUAUCCGGCGCAGGCGUAGGAUAUUUGAGAGGAGCUGUCCUUAGUACGAGAGGACCGGGAUGGACAGACCGCCGGUGUAUCUGUUGGUGACCAACACCAUGGCAGAGUAGCCAAGUCUGGCAGGGAUAAACGCUGAAGGCAUCUAAGCGUGAAGCCCCCCUCAAGAUGAGAUAUCCCAAUAAGUAAGACCCCUUAGAGAGUAUGAGGUAGAUAGGCUUAAGGUGUAAGCAUAGUAAUAUGUUCAGCUGAUAAGUACUAAUAGGUCGAGGGCUUAUUAA